This is a non-coding RNA of Pelobates cultripes (western spadefoot toad), 302 nucleotides long. The record is from the annotation of a GenBank genome assembly. Lineage: Eukaryota; Metazoa; Chordata; Amphibia; Anura; Pelobatidae.
GUUAUUAGAAAGCCUGAAAAGAUUAGAAUUUGCAUUGAUCCGAAGUUUCUUAAUAUGGCCCUGAGAAGGUCACACUACAUAAUGCCAACACUUGAGGAUGUUUUGCACAAAUUGCCCAAAGCACGGGUUUUUACAAUUGUUGAUGCAAGAGAUGCCUUUCUACAGUGCAAACUGGAUGAAAAAAAUAGCUACAUGACCACUUUCUAGACUCCCUGGGGCCGAAAGAGAUGGCUCAAGCUGCCGUUUGGAGUCUCCAUAACCCCAGAAGUAUAUAAGCGAAAGCAACAUGAACUGUUAAGUGG